AUUAAUUUAUUAUACCUAAUGGUAAUUUAAACUAACAUAAAUUUAAUUAGCUAAAAAAUAAAUUGAUC
This 68-nucleotide transfer RNA is filed under the name Tegula brunnea (brown turban snail). RNAcentral describes it as "Chlorostoma brunnea (brown turban snail) tRNA-Val". The record is from RNAcentral. Lineage: Eukaryota; Metazoa; Mollusca; Gastropoda; Trochida; Tegulidae.